Ribosomal RNA from Colletotrichum orchidophilum, 120 nucleotides. NCBI's taxonomy places the organism in Eukaryota, Fungi, Ascomycota, Sordariomycetes, Glomerellales, Glomerellaceae. The record is from Rfam.
ACAUACGACCAUACCCGUUGGAAAAUUAGGGAUCCCGUCCGCUCUCCCAUAUACAAGCUAACGAGGGCCGGAUUAGUAGUUGGGUCGGUGACGACCAGCGAAUACCUGGUGUUGUAUGUU